Molecule: ribosomal RNA, 465 nt
Filed under: Vreelandella stevensii
Lineage: Bacteria; Pseudomonadati; Pseudomonadota; Gammaproteobacteria; Oceanospirillales; Halomonadaceae
Description: partial 16S ribosomal RNA
Rfam family: Bacterial small subunit ribosomal RNA
Source: RNAcentral
CCUACGGGUGGUAGCAGUGGGGAAUAUUGGACAAUGGGCGAAAGCCUGAUCCAGCCAUGCCGCGUGUGUGAAGAAGGCCUUCGGGUUGUAAAGCACUUUCAGUGGGGAAGAAAGCCUUGGGGCUAAUACCCUCGAGGAAGGACAUCACCCACAGAAGAAGCACCGGCUAACUCCGUGCCAGCAGCCGCGGUAAUACGGAGGGUGCGAGCGUUAAUCGGAAUUACUGGGCGUAAAGCGCGCGUAGGCGGUCUGAUAAGCCGGUUGUGAAAGCCCCGGGCUCAACCUGGGAACGGCAUCCGGAACUGUCAGGCUAGAGUGCAGGAGAGGAAGGUAGAAUUCCCGGUGUAGCGGUGAAAUGCGUAGAGAUCGGGAGGAAUACCAGUGGCGAAGGCGGCCUUCUGGACUGACACUGACGCUGAGGUGCGAAAGCGUGGGUAGCAAACAGGAUUAGAUACCCUUGUAGUC